GUUCGAUCAUGGCUCAGAUUGAACACUGGCGGGAUGCUUUACACAUGCAAAUCAGACAGCAGCACGGACUUCGGUCUGGUGGCGAGUGGCGAACGGGUGAGUAAUGUAUCGGAACGUGCUAGUAGCGGGGGAUAACUACGCGAAAGCGUAGCUAAUACCGCAUACGCCCUUCGGGGAAAGCGGGGGACCUUCGGGCCUCGCACUAUUAGAGCAGCCGAUAUCGGAUUAGCUAA
Molecule: unclassified non-coding RNA, 233 nt
Filed under: uncultured Bordetella sp.
Lineage: Bacteria; Pseudomonadati; Pseudomonadota; Betaproteobacteria; Burkholderiales; Alcaligenaceae
Description: partial 16S-23S ribosomal RNA intergenic spacer
Rfam family: Bacterial small subunit ribosomal RNA
Source: RNAcentral